CUACGGGUGGCUGCAGUGGGGAAUAUUGCACAAUGGAGGAAACUCUGAUGCAGCAACGCCGCGUGGAGGAUGACACUUUUCGGAGCGUAAACUCCUUUUAUAUAGGAAGAAGAUGACGGUACUAUAUGAAUAAGCGCCGGCUAACUCCGUGCCAGCAGCCGCGGUAAUACGGAGGGCGCAAGCGUUACUCGGAAUCACUGGGCGUAAAGAGCGUGUAGGCGGAUUAAAAAGUCAGAAGUGAAAUCCUAUAGCUUAACUAUAGAACUGCUUCUGAAACUCUUAAUCUAGAAUAUGGGAGAGGUGGAUGGAAUUUCUGGUGUAGGGGUAAUAUCCGUAGAGAUCAGAAGGAAUACCGAUUGCGAAGGCGAUCUACUAGAACAUUAUUGACGCUGAGACGCGAAAGCGUGGGGAGCAAACAGGAUUAGAUACCCCAGUAGUC
Molecule: ribosomal RNA, 439 nt
Filed under: uncultured bacterium
Lineage: Bacteria
Description: partial 16S ribosomal RNA
Rfam family: Bacterial small subunit ribosomal RNA
Source: RNAcentral